Molecule: ribosomal RNA, 497 nt
Filed under: uncultured bacterium
Lineage: Bacteria
Description: partial 16S ribosomal RNA
Rfam family: Bacterial small subunit ribosomal RNA
Source: RNAcentral
GAUGAACGCUGGCGGCGUGCCUAAUACAUGCAAGUCGAGCGAACAGACGAGGAGCUUGCUCCUCUGACGUUAGCGGCGGACGGGUGAGUAACACGUGGAUAACCUACCUAUAAGACUGGGAUAACUUCGGGAAACCGGAGCUAAUACCGGAUAAUAUAUUGAACCGCAUGGUUCAAUAGUGAAAGACGGUUUUGCUGUCACUUAUAGAUGGAUCCGCGCCGCAUUAGCUAGUUGGUAAGGUAACGGCUUACCAAGGCAACGAUGCGUAGCCGACCUGAGAGGGUGAUCGGCCACACUGGAACUGAGACACGGUCCAGACUCCUACGGGAGGCAGCAGUAGGGAAUCUUCCGCAAUGGGCGAAAGCCUGACGGAGCAACGCCGCGUGAGUGAUGAAGGUCUUCGGAUCGUAAAACUCUGUUAUUGGGGAAGAACAAAUGUGUAAGUAACUAUGCACGUCUUGACGGUACCUAUUCAGAAAGCCACGGCUAACUACGUG